Molecule: ribosomal RNA, 722 nt
Filed under: uncultured soil bacterium
Lineage: Bacteria
Description: bacterial SSU rRNA
Rfam family: Bacterial small subunit ribosomal RNA
Source: RNAcentral
UGCCUUACACAUGCAAGUCGAGCGGCAGCGCGGGGGCAACCCUGGCGGCGAGCGGCGAACGGGUGAGUAAUGCAUCGGAACGUGUCCUCCUGUGGGGGAUAACCAGUCGAAAGACUGGCUAAUACCGCAUGAGAUCGAGAGAUGAAAGCAAGGGACCGCAAGGCCUUGCGCGAGAGGAGCGGCCGAUGCCGGAUUAGCUAGUUGGCGGGGUAACGGCCUACCAAGGCGACGAUCCGUAGCUGGUCUGAGAGGACGACCAGCCACACUGGGACUGAGACACGGCCCAGACUCCUACGGGAGGCAGCAGUGGGGAAUUUUGGACAAUGGGGGCAACCCUGAUCCAGCCAUGCCGCGUGUGUGAAGAAGGCCUUCGGGUUGUAAAGCACUUUCGGACGGAACGAAAUCGCGCGGGUUAAUAGUCCGCGUGGAUGACGGUACCGUAAGAAGAAGCACCGGCUAACUACGUGCCAGCAGCCGCGGUAAUACGUAGGGUGCGAGCGUUAAUCGGAAUUACUGGGCGUAAAGUGUGCGCAGGCGGCCGCGCAAGUCGAGUGUGAAAUCCCCGAGCUUAACUUGGGAAUUGCGCUCGAAACUACGUGGCUGGAGUGUGGCAGAGGAAGGUGGAAUUCCACGUGUAGCGGUGAAAUGCGUAGAGAUGUGGAGGAACACCGAUGGCGAAGGCAGCCUUCUGGGCCAACACUGACGCUCAUGCACGAAAGCGU